AAACAUGUGGUGAGAGGGGGUGUAUGUGUCGUUUCGGGAUCUCCAGUGGAUUAUCCUGUACUUCUGCUUGACAUUAGUGCUUGUGGUGGUAGGGGAGGAGAAAUAUUGUUGUGGGGAUGCUAGUGAGGGUGUGAGGUGAGGACUGUGGGCGUGGAGGGAGUGUGUGGAUGGAAAAAGGGUUUGCUUUGAGUGCUGUGAUCAAUACCGUGGGACAGGGAGGCGAGGAAACGUGUUAUUAUUAUUGUUUUGUGGAAAGGUGAUCUGUCCCAGCCCAGCCUCGCCAUCUUUGGAUUUAUAACAGGUGGUGGUCUGGCUGGAGCUAAUAACGCGCAUAUCGUCUGCUUCUCCCACUGCCGCCGCUAAUAUUAAAGGUGGUGAGGGCGCCCUGAUGUAAGAAGAGGUAGCGCUGGUGGUUGUGAUCUUCCCAACACCACCACUAAGACCACCAACUUCACUAUCACGACCUUCAAUAUCGCCACCUACUUCUUCAGCUCCUUCGUCUCCGCCUCCUCCUCCUCCUCGUCCUCCACCUCCCCCUCUGUCGUGUUCCUCGUUAGUGACUCCUCCACGACCAUCAGGUGCCUCGCCAGGUUCUCUUCGCGUGGGCGUGGAUGAGGAUGAAGGACCAGGGCUGAAAGGACCGAGGGCGCGGGAGGCACGAGGCGGCCACAUGCAGAGGCGUGAGGGGCGGCCUACUGCGCAUUUUCCCAAGAGUCGAGGCAUCCAAGUCUUUGAAGAACAUCAAGGCAGGGACUCGUGAUUGUUCUCGUGCUGUCAUUCUGGGGGUUUAA
Portunus trituberculatus (swimming crab) is the source of this 791-nucleotide long non-coding RNA. RefSeq lists it as uncharacterized. The transcript is spliced from 5 exons. Lineage: Eukaryota; Metazoa; Arthropoda; Malacostraca; Decapoda; Portunidae. The record is from RefSeq and is a predicted model, not a curated record.